UUUUUGUGUAGAUAUGGAUUUCUAUGUUAAAUGUUUGAUCGUCGGUUUUAUUUAAUUAUUUUAUGAUUAGUAUUUUUGUUGUUCUUAGAUGAUAAAAUAUUAAUAGUACUUUAUACAUGACUUACUUUUAAAAAAUUUUAAAUACGAUGAAUGGUUAAAUGUUAUAUAUAGAAACCCACAGCUGCACUUAAA
This 192-nucleotide microRNA precursor is filed under the name Oryza glumipatula. RNAcentral's name for it is "MIR812 microRNA precursor family". It matches the Rfam family "MIR812 microRNA precursor family". The record is from Rfam by way of RNAcentral. Lineage: Eukaryota; Viridiplantae; Streptophyta; Magnoliopsida; Poales; Poaceae.